GUGAGGAAUAUUGGUCAAUGGCCGAGAGGCUGAACCAGCCAUGCCGCGUGCGGGAUGACGGCCCUAUGGGUUGUAAACCGCUUUUGUUGGGGAGCAAUAAGGUUCACGUGUGGACUGAUGAGAGUACCCAGCGAAUAAGCAUCGGCUAACUCCGUGCCAGCAGCCGCGGUAAUACGGAGGAUGCAAGCGUUAUCCGGAUUUAUUGGGUUUAAAGGGUGCGUAGGCGGAUGAUUAAGCGUGAGGUGAAAGCUCGGGGCUCAACCCCGGAACUGCCUCGCGAACUGGUUGUCUUGAAUGUCCGUGCCGUGGGAGGAAUGUGUGGUGUAGCGGUGAAAUGCAUAGAGAUCACACAGAACACCGAUUGCGAAGGCAUCUCACGAACGGAUGAUUGACGCUGAGGCACGAAAGCGUGGGGAUCAAACAGG
RNAcentral lists this ribosomal RNA (425 nucleotides) under uncultured rumen bacterium. RNAcentral describes it as "bacterial SSU rRNA". It matches the Rfam family "Bacterial small subunit ribosomal RNA", at positions 354 to 776 of the family's 1533-position model. The record is from RNAcentral.